GAUGAAGAACGUAGCGAAAUGCGAUAAGUAAUGCGAAUUGCAGAAUCCGUGAGUCAUCGAGUCUUUGAACGCACAUUGCGCCCCCUGGUAUUCCGGGGGGCAUGCCUGUCCGAGCGUCAUUGCAACCCUCAAGCACGGCUUGUCUAAUGGGCGGUUCGUCUGCGGCCAUCCGCCGGAGACGCCCCCGAAAUGCAGUGGGGAUGUUCGCUAAAUCGCAGCGUCAGGAAUGGAAAUAAACAAUGCUGACGGCUCGAUGUCGAACGUCCACCUAAGGCGUGCCGCCCCCCCGGGGUGUGCCGCCCAACCUCUCUCGGUUGACCUCGGAUCAGGUAGGGAUACCUGCUGAACUUAAGCAUAUCAAUAAGCGGAGGA
RNAcentral lists this unclassified non-coding RNA (372 nucleotides) under soil metagenome. Its description in RNAcentral is "partial contains 5.8S ribosomal RNA, internal transcribed spacer 2, and large subunit ribosomal RNA". The stretch from base 1 to 119 matches the Rfam family "5.8S ribosomal RNA", at positions 35 to 154 of the family's 154-position model. The record is from RNAcentral.